GUACCUGCGGAAGGAUCAUUAAAGAUUAUGAAUGAAUAGAUUACUGGGGGAAUCGUCUGAACAAGGCCUGCGCUUAAUUGCGCGGCCAGUUCUUGAUUCUCUGCUAUCAGUUUUCUAUUUCUCAUCCUAAACACAAUGGAGUUUUUUCUCUAUGAACUACUUCCCUGGAGAGCUCGUCUCUCCAGUGGACAUAAACACAAACAAUAUUUUGUAUUAUGAAAAACUAUUAUACUAUAAAAUUUAAUAUUCAAAACUUUCAACAACGGAUCUCUUGGUUCUCGCAUCGAUGAAGAACGCAGCGAAUUGCGAUAUGUAUUGUGAAUUGCAGAUUUUCGUGAAUCAUCAAAUCUUUGAACGCACAUUGCGCCCUCUGGUAUUCCAGGGGGCAUGCCUGUUUGAGCGUCAUUUCUCUCUCAAACCUUUGGGUUUGGUAGUGAGUGAUACUCGUCUCGGGUUAACUUGAAAGUGGCUAGCCGUUGCCAUCUGCGUGAGCAGGGCUGCGUGUCAAGUCUAUGGACUCGACUCUUGCACAUCUACGUCUUAGGUUUGCGCCAAUUCGUGGUAAGCUUGGGUCAUAGAGACUCAUAGGUGUUAUAAAGACUCGCUGGUGUUUGUCUCCUUGAGGCAUACGGCUUUAACCAAAACUCUCAAAGUUUGACCUCAAAUCAGGUAGGAGUACCCGCUGAACUUAAGCAUAUCAAAGCCGGGAGGAAGAA
This 716-nucleotide ribosomal RNA is filed under the name Kluyveromyces marxianus. RNAcentral describes it as "eukaryotic LSU rRNA". The stretch from base 252 to 405 matches the Rfam family "5.8S ribosomal RNA". The record is from RNAcentral. Lineage: Eukaryota; Fungi; Ascomycota; Saccharomycetes; Saccharomycetales; Saccharomycetaceae.